This is a long non-coding RNA of Dermacentor andersoni, 515 nucleotides long. RefSeq lists it as uncharacterized. NCBI's taxonomy places the organism in Eukaryota, Metazoa, Arthropoda, Arachnida, Ixodida, Ixodidae. The record is from RefSeq and is a predicted model, not a curated record.
GUGUAAGCCUGAAAGCUAGGUUUCAGUCGUGAGCCAUGUGGAACACGUCUGCAUCGAAAUGGGAGCCGGGUCCUGCUGCAACUGGGGACAGCAAUACCGACAUGCAGUAAUGAGGAUGGCACCAGUAUAAAGCAACACACUCCAUGCACUAAACAGAAGCUGCUGCCUGCUACAACAAGGUCAUUGUGUGGACUUUGGCUGCUACUACAAGAGUCUGUGCCAAGUACAUCUUGGUCAUCACGGGAGCCCCCAUCUACACCAACAGGAAGGGGCUGGAGCUGAAUUCGCAAGACCACAAAAAAAGAAGCCAUUGCAGAAUUAUUUGGAUGAGAUAUCAAGUCUACGGACGACUGUUUCAAGAGUGAAAAGAGCCUACGCCAUCAUUCCACCAGCACGGAUAUUGGCCGAGUCAUCCAGGUACCUCAACAACAAAAAUUAUUUGUCUUCAGAUGUACCUGCAACCUCUGAACAAGCACAGAUGACGCUGGCUAAGAGUGUUCUGUCAGCUUGCCCUU